Molecule: non-coding RNA, 27 nt
Filed under: Cricetulus griseus (Chinese hamster)
Lineage: Eukaryota; Metazoa; Chordata; Mammalia; Rodentia; Cricetidae
Source: RNAcentral
GUGGGCUGGAGAGAUGGCUCAGGGGUU